GAUGAACGCUGGCGGCGUGCUUAACACAUGCAAGUCGAACGGAAAGGCUCCUGCUUGCAGGGGUACUCGAGUGGCGAACGGGUGAGUAACACGUGGGUGAUCUGCCCUGCACUUCGGGAUAAGCCUGGGAAACUGGGUCUAAUACCGGAUAGGACGAUGGUUUGGAUGCCAUUGUGGAAAGUUUUUUCGGUGUGGGAUGAGCUCGCGGCCUAUCAGCUUGUUGGUGGGGUAAUGGCCUACCAAGGCGUCGACGGGUAGCCGGCCUGAGAGGGUGUACGGCCACAUUGGGACUGAGAUACGGCCCAGACUCCUACGGGAGGCAGCAGUGGGGAAUAUUGCACAAUGGGCGCAAGCCUGAUGCAGCGACGCCGCGUGGGGGAUGACGGCCUUCGGGUUGUAAACUCCUUUCGCUAGGGACGAAGCGCAAGUGACGGUACCUGGAGAAGAAGCACCGGCUAACUACGAG
Molecule: ribosomal RNA, 466 nt
Filed under: uncultured bacterium
Lineage: Bacteria
Description: partial 16S ribosomal RNA
Rfam family: Bacterial small subunit ribosomal RNA
Source: RNAcentral